This 706-nucleotide ribosomal RNA is filed under the name uncultured Olsenella sp. RNAcentral's name for it is "bacterial SSU rRNA". It matches the Rfam family "Bacterial small subunit ribosomal RNA", at positions 62 to 779 of the family's 1533-position model. The record is from RNAcentral. Lineage: Bacteria; Bacillati; Actinomycetota; Coriobacteriia; Coriobacteriales; Atopobiaceae.
UCGAACGGUUAAAGCACCUUCGGGUGUGUAUAGAGUGGCGAACGGCUGAGUAACACGUGGGCAACCUGCCCUUUGCAUCGGGACAGCCUCGGGAAACCGUGGUUAAUACCGGAUACUCCAUCUUUCUCACAUGAAAAAGAUGGGAAAGUGUUUAGCGGCAAGGGAUGGGCCCGCGCCCUGUUAGCUUGUUGGUGGGGUAAAAGCCUACCAAGGCAAUGAUGGGUAGCCGGGUCGAGAGACCGACCGGCCAGAUUGGGACUGAGACACGGCCCAGACUCCUACGGGAGGCAGCAGUGGGGAAUCUUGCACAAUGGGCGAAAGCCUGAUGCAGCGACGCCGCGUGCGGGAUGAAGGCCUUCGGGUUGUAAACCGCUUUCAGCAGGGACGAGGCGAAAGCGACGGUACCUGCAGAAGAAGCCCCGGCUAACUACGUGCCAGCAGCCGCGGUAAUACGUAGGGGGCAAGCGUUAUCCGGAUUCAUUGGGCGUAAAGCGCGCGUAGGCUGCCCAGUAGGUCGAGAGUUAAAUCCGGGGGCUCAACCCCCGUCCGCUCCCGAUACCGCUGGGCUUCGAGUCUGGUAGGGGAAGGUGGAAUUCCCAGUGUAGCGGUGGAAUGCGCAGAUAUUGGGAAGAACACCGGUGGCGAAGGCGGCCUUCUGGGCCAUGACUGACGCUGAGGCGCGAAAGCUAGGGGAGCGAACAGGAUU